Non-coding RNA from Dyadobacter psychrophilus, 112 nucleotides. NCBI's taxonomy places the organism in Bacteria, Pseudomonadati, Bacteroidota, Cytophagia, Cytophagales, Spirosomataceae. The record is from Rfam.
GUUGGUGACUAUUGGCCUGGUGUUCACCUCUUCCCAUCCCGAACAGAGAAGUUAAGCCCAGAACCGCCGAUGAUACUUGGAUCAAACCUGGUAAAGUAGGUAGUCGCCACAA